Molecule: transfer RNA, 84 nt
Filed under: Candidatus Gottesmanbacteria bacterium RBG_13_37_7
Lineage: Bacteria; Candidatus Gottesmaniibacteriota
Description: tRNA-Ser
Rfam family: tRNA
About the family: Transfer RNA (tRNA) molecules are approximately 80 nucleotides in length. Their secondary structure includes four short double-helical elements and three loops (D, anti-codon, and T loops).
Source: RNAcentral
GGAGGAGUGUAGGAGCGGUUUAUCUAGCAGGUCUCGAAAACCUUGCGGGUUACACCCACGCGAGUUCGAAUCUCGCCUCCUCCG